This 406-nucleotide ribosomal RNA is filed under the name uncultured bacterium. RNAcentral describes it as "partial 16S ribosomal RNA". It matches the Rfam family "Bacterial small subunit ribosomal RNA", at positions 30 to 526 of the family's 1533-position model. The record is from RNAcentral.
AUUGAACGCUGGCGGCAGGCCUAACACAUGCAAGUCGAACGAGUGGGGGACGGGUGAGUAAUGUCUGGGAAACUGCCUGAUGGAGGGGGAUGAAUACUGGAACCGGUAGCUAAUACCGCAUACACUCGGAUGUGCCCAGAUGGGAUUAGCUAGUAGGGGGGGUAAAGGCUCGACCAGGCGACGAUCCCUAGCUGGUCUGAGAGGAUGACCAGCCACACUGGAACUGAGACCCGGUCCAGACUCCUACGGGAGGCAGCCGUGGGGAAUAUUGCACAAUGGGCGCAAUCCUGAUGCAGCCAGGCCGCGUGUAUGAAGAAGGCCUUCGGGGUGUCAAGUACUUUCAGCCUGGAGGCGUUACCCGCAGAAGAAGCACCGGCUAACUCCGUGCCAGCAGCCGCGGUAAUAC